This 497-nucleotide ribosomal RNA is filed under the name uncultured bacterium. RNAcentral describes it as "partial 16S ribosomal RNA". It matches the Rfam family "Bacterial small subunit ribosomal RNA", at positions 28 to 507 of the family's 1533-position model. The record is from RNAcentral.
GACGAACGCUGGCGGCGUGCCUAAUACAUGCGAGUUGAGCGCUGAAGGUUUGUACUUGUCCCUACUGGAUGAGCAGCGAACGGGUGAGUAACGCGUGGGGAAUCUGCCUUUGAUCGGGGGACAACAUUUGGAAACGAAUGCUAAUACCGCAUAAAAACUUUAAACACAAGUUUUAAGUUUGAAAGAUGCAAUUGCAUCACUCAUAGAUGAUCCCGCGUUUUAUUAGCUAGUUGGUGAGGUAAAGGCUCACCAAGGCGAUGAUACAUAGCCUGCCUGAGAGGGUGGUCGGCCACCAUGGGAAUGAGACACGGCCCAAAAUUCUACGGGAGGCAGCAGGAGGGAAGCUUCGGCAAAGGACGAAAGGCUGACCGAGCAACGCCGCGUGAGGGAAGAAGGGUGUCGGAUCGUAAAACUCUGUUGGUAGAGAAGAACGUUGGUGAGAGUGGAAAGCUCAUCAAGUGACGGUAACUACCCAGAAAGGGACGGCUAACUACGUG